UAGUAACGGCGAGUGAAGCGGCAACAGCUCAAAUUUGAAAUCUGGCCCUCGGGUCCGAAUUGUAAUUUGUAGAGGAUGAUUUUGGUGCGGUAUCUUCCGAGUUCCUUGGAACAGGACGCCUUAGAGGGUGAGAGCCCCGUACGGUUGAAUGCCUAGCCUCUGUAAAUCUCCUUCGACGAGUCGAGUAGUUUGGGAAUGCUGCUCUAAAUGGGAGGUAAAUUUCUUCUAAAGCUAAAUAUUGGCCAGAGACCGAUAGCGCACAAGUAGAGUGAUCGAAAGAUGAAAAGCACUUUGAAAAGAGGGUUAAAUAGCACGUGAAAUUGUUGAAAGGGAAGGAUUUGUGACCAGACUUUUUCUGGGCGGAUCAUCCGGGGUUCUCUCCGGUGCACUUUGCCCAGUAAAGGCCAGCAUCGAUUUUCGGCGGCGGAUAAAAGCAGUGGGAAUGUGGCUCCCUACGGGGAGUGUUAUAGCCCAUUGUAUAAUACGCUGCUGGGGAUCGAGGUACGCGCUUCUGCAAGGAUGCUGGCGUAAUGGUUAUCAAUCACCCGUCUUGAAACACGGACCAAGGAGUCGAACAUUUAUGCGAGUGUUUGGGUGUUAAACCCUCACGCGUAAUGAAAGUGAACGGAGGUGAGAGCCCGUACGGGUGCAUCAUCGACCGAUCCUGAAGUUUUCGGAUGGAUUUGAGUAAGAGCAUAACUGUUCGGACCCGAAAGAUGGUGAACUAUGCGUGGAUAGGGUGAAGCCAGAGGAAACUCUGGUGGAGGCUCGCAGCGGUUCUGACGUGCAAAUCGAUCGUCAAAUCUGCGCAUGGGGGCGAAAGACUAAUCGAACCAUCUAGUAGCU
RNAcentral lists this ribosomal RNA (846 nucleotides) under fungal sp. Its description in RNAcentral is "partial large subunit ribosomal RNA". It matches the Rfam family "Eukaryotic large subunit ribosomal RNA", at positions 81 to 952 of the family's 3401-position model. Lineage: Eukaryota; Fungi. The record is from RNAcentral.